This 248-nucleotide ribosomal RNA is filed under the name uncultured Caldilineaceae bacterium. RNAcentral's name for it is "partial 16S ribosomal RNA". It matches the Rfam family "Bacterial small subunit ribosomal RNA", at positions 796 to 1041 of the family's 1533-position model. Lineage: Bacteria; Bacillati; Chloroflexota; Caldilineae; Caldilineales; Caldilineaceae. The record is from RNAcentral.
CACGCUGUAAACGAUGAAUACUAGGUGUGGGUGGUCUCAAAAUCAUCCGUGCCGAAGCAAACGCGAUAAGUAUUCCGCCUGGGGAGUACGGCCGCAAGGCUAAAACUCAAAGGAAUUGACGGGGGCCCGCACAAGCAGCGGAGCGUGUGGUUUAAUUCGAUGCGACACGAAGAACCUUACCUAGGUUUGACAUGCAAGUAGUAGUGAAGCGAAAGCGGAACGACCCUUCGGGGAGCUUGCACAGGUGC